CGAACGGGUGAGUAAUGCGUGACCAACCUGCCCCAUGCUCCAGAAUAGCUCUUGGAAACGGGUGGUAAUGCUGGAUGCUCCAACUUGACGCAUGUCUUGUUGGGAAAGUGUUUAGUGGCAUGGGAUGGGGUCGCGUCCUAUCAGCUUGUAGGCGGGGUAAUGGCCCACCUAGGCUUCGACGGGUAGCCGGCCUGAGAGGGCGGACGGCCACAUUGGGACUGAGAUACGGCCCAGACUCCUACGGAGGCAGCAGUG
Molecule: ribosomal RNA, 255 nt
Filed under: uncultured Gardnerella sp.
Lineage: Bacteria; Bacillati; Actinomycetota; Actinomycetes; Bifidobacteriales; Bifidobacteriaceae
Description: partial 16S ribosomal RNA
Rfam family: Bacterial small subunit ribosomal RNA
Source: RNAcentral